RNAcentral lists this ribosomal RNA (501 nucleotides) under uncultured bacterium. Its description in RNAcentral is "partial 16S ribosomal RNA". It matches the Rfam family "Bacterial small subunit ribosomal RNA", at positions 28 to 523 of the family's 1533-position model. The record is from RNAcentral.
GAUGAACGCUGGCGGCGUGCCUAAUACAUGCAAGUCGAGCGAACCUCUUCGGAGGUUAGCGGCGGACGGGUGAGUAACACGUGGGCAACCUACCUUGUAGAUGGGGAUAACAUCGAGAAAUCGGUGCUAAUACCGAAUAACACUUUUCUCCACAUGGAGAAAAGUUAAAAGUUGGCUUUUGCUAACACUACAAGAUGGGCCCGCGGCGCAUUAGCUAGUUGGUGAGGUAACGGCUCACCAAGGCGACGAUGCGUAGCCGACCUGAGAGGGUGAUCGGCCACACUGGGACUGAGACACGGCCCAGACUCCUACGGGAGGCAGCAGUAGGGAAUCUUCCGCAAUGGACGAAAGUCUGACGGAGCAACGCCGCGUGAGUGAUGAAGGCCUUCGGGUCGUAAAACUCUGUUGUUAGGGAAGAAUAAGUACCGUUCGAAUAGGGCGGUACCGUGACGGUACCUAACCAGAAAGCCACGGCUAACUACGUGCCAGCCGCCGCCGUAA